Molecule: long non-coding RNA, 234 nt
Filed under: Danio rerio (zebrafish)
Lineage: Eukaryota; Metazoa; Chordata; Actinopteri; Cypriniformes; Danionidae
Description: lncRNA si:dkey-263b2.3 (ENSDARG00000096768.2)
Source: RNAcentral
GAGUUCAUCAGCACAAUGUCUUACUCCUGGGCAAUCCAGACGGGAUGGGGAUGGAAUGUGCGCUGAUCUGCACCUCAGCUUGUGAUAAUUGAAGCGACAGCAGUGCCUCGGGGAUGUUGCUUGACAGCUGCAUGGUUGCUAGAGGGAUGUAAAUUGCCUUUGAACAUGGCAGGCGGAGCAUCAUUUGCACAGAAGGAAAAUUGCCGGAGAGCACGUUCACGUUUAGAGCCAUCU